UAACGGAAGGCUUCGGCCGGAAGAUAUAUGUUUUGGCGGCGGACGGGUGAGUAACGCGUGAGCAACCUGUCCUUCACAGGGGGAUAAGAUACCGAAAGGUGUUCUAAUACCGCAUGAGACCACAACGUCACAUGGCGAAGGGGUCAAAGGAGCAAUCCGGUGAAGGGUGGGCUCGCGUCCGAUUAGAUAGUUGGUGAGGUAACGGCCCACCAAGUCGACGAUCGGUAGCCGACCUGAGAGGGUGAUCGGCCACAUUGGGACUGAGACACGGCCCAGACUCCUACGGGAGGCAGCAGUGGGGAAUAUUGGGCAAUGGGGGAAACCCUGACCCAGCAACGCCGCGUGGAGGAAGAAGGUCUUCGGAUCGUAAACUCCUGUCCUAAGAGACGAGCAGGAGACGGUAUCUUAGGAGGAAGCCCCGGCUAACUACGUGCCAGCAGCCGCGGUAAUACGUAGGGGGCAAGCGUUGUCCGGAAUGAUUGGGCGUAAAGGGCGCGUAGGCGGCCUUUCAAGUCUGAAGUGAAAUUCCCGUUUUUAAGAUGGGAACUGCUUUGGAAACUGUAAGGCUUGAGUGCAGGAGAGGUCAGUGGAAUUCCCAGUGUAGCGGUGAAAUGCGUAGAUAUUAGGAGGAACACCAGUGGCGAAGGCGGCUUUCUGGACUGUAACUGACGCUGAGGCUCGAAAGCCAGGGGAGCGAACGGGAUUAGAUACCCCGG
Molecule: ribosomal RNA, 716 nt
Filed under: uncultured rumen bacterium
Lineage: Bacteria
Description: bacterial SSU rRNA
Rfam family: Bacterial small subunit ribosomal RNA
Source: RNAcentral